Molecule: non-coding RNA, 513 nt
Organism: Dermacentor albipictus
Lineage: Eukaryota; Metazoa; Arthropoda; Arachnida; Ixodida; Ixodidae
Source: RefSeq, a predicted model, not a curated record
AAGAAGACGACCGAUCCUACGGCGCGACCACGUAAUAUUGUAAAUACUGUCCCGCCAGUGUUUCCUUCCAGCGACUGCGAUGCGGCUACUCCACACACGGCGAGAAGCGAGAAGCGUAUGGCAGGCAUGCGAUUCGAAGGAGCACCGUGCAGAAGACAGUGUAUAUGGACGCAGUGUUCAUAUAUACUGUAUUCAUAUGAAAUCAAGAGUUUCGCGGGAACCCGUCUGGUCUGGAGCAGACAAUGUAAAGGAUCAGAAAAAUGGCGAGGUGCAUCAAGCUCACUUCGUAUUCCGCCCUACAUAAGCCCUCCGGCACGAAUUUAACUCCGCAUUGGCGAUCCCCUGCAAGUUGCCCGUCCACCUGCUCAUACUACAACGUUUGCUGCAUCAUUCUUUCCUCACUCAGUCACAGACUGGAAGGGCCUUCCACACAACGUCACUGCAACCACCUCUCCAUCUACAUUUUCUGAUUGUAUAACUGCCAUAUUGAACCACUAAUAUUUUUUAUUUUAA